CCCACUAUCAUUCCAUUCAAACAAGCAGCCAAACACCCCCCCCCUCGAUCUCCUUCUCCUCUCUGACAGAACCCCGAUGACCGGAAUGAAGCUCCGGCCGAUGUUCCACCUGCAACAACCCCCCCCCCCCCUCGUCGGCAAAUAGGACCACCACCACCGUGCGGUGGUGGUGAACGGCGGCAGCGGAACCAGAAGAGAGAGAGGCUGAGCAGGAGAGAGAGAGAGAGAGAGAGAGAGAGCCGGAGAUAGGAGGAGCACCGCCGCUCACGGCAACGGCGGCGGUGGAGGCGACGACGGGUGUCUCUCGCCGGCGUCACAUCAUGGUCCGGCGAUGGUGAUUGUUUGACGGAAACAAUGGAUGCUAUUUAUGUUGAAGACGGUGAUGGUGGUAGCUUCGGGUGUUCGACUCAGCUCCGGUGACGGCUGUGGAAUAAUGGUGGUGCUGAUAUUCGAUUUCAGAUUAUGGUGCGGGUCAAGUAUGGUUCGAGUAUUCCAGCAGGUUAAGCGGGUCUCAACUUAGUCAACCCGAGUCAACUCGGUUGACUCGGUCAACACACAGUCGGAACGGGUCAGACCUGGAGCCGGUCAACUCAGUCGAACGAGCGGCUUUCGGUUGGAGUUUGGGUUUUGGUUUGGCUUGCUUUAGUGUGAUUCAACUCGGUUGACUCGGUCAAACCGAGUCAACUCAGUCAAGCUCAGUCAACAGCGAGUCAACUCGGUCAAACCGAGUUAACUUGAUAAACCCAGUCACGUUCUAACGCGAUAGUUAUGGUAAAGGUUUAACGGCAAAAGUUGUUUUGUUAUUUUCAUAUAAUAUUACGUGAACGAGCUCGAACCGAUUUAAUUUA
Helianthus annuus (common sunflower) is the source of this 848-nucleotide long non-coding RNA. RefSeq lists it as uncharacterized. NCBI's taxonomy places the organism in Eukaryota, Viridiplantae, Streptophyta, Magnoliopsida, Asterales, Asteraceae. The transcript has 2 exons. The record is from RefSeq and is a predicted model, not a curated record.